Molecule: ribosomal RNA, 253 nt
Filed under: uncultured bacterium
Lineage: Bacteria
Description: partial 16S ribosomal RNA
Rfam family: Bacterial small subunit ribosomal RNA
Source: RNAcentral
UACGUAGGGACCAAGCGUUGUUCGGAUUUACUGGGCGUAAAGGGCGCGUAGGCGGCUUGUCAAGUCACUUGUGAAAUCUCUGGGCUUAACCCAGAACGGCCAAGUGAUACUGCAGUGCUAGAGUGUGGAAGGGGCAAUCGGAAUUCUUGGUGUAGCGGUGAAAUGCGUAGAUAUCGAGAGGAACACCAGUGGCGAAGGCGAGUCUCUGGACAUUUCCUGACGCUGAGGCACGAAAGCCAGGGGAGCAAACGGG